Molecule: ribosomal RNA, 385 nt
Filed under: uncultured bacterium
Lineage: Bacteria
Description: bacterial SSU rRNA
Rfam family: Bacterial small subunit ribosomal RNA
Source: RNAcentral
GACGAACGCUGGCGGCGUGCUUAACACAUGCAAGUCGAGCGGUAAGGCCCUUUCGGGGUACGACGAGCGGCGAACGGGUGAGUAACACGUGGGUGACCUGCCCUCAGCUCUGGGAUAAGCCUGGGAAACCGGGUCUAAUACUGGAUAUGACUCCAUGACGCAUGUUGUGGGGUGGAAAGCCUUGUGCGGCUGAGGAUGGGCCCGCGGCCUAUCAGCUUGUUGGUGGGGUGAGGCCUACCAAGGCGACGACGGGUAGCCGGCCUGAGAGGCGACCGGCCACACUGGGACUGAGACACGGCCCAGACUCCUACGGGAGGCAGCAGUGGGGAAUCUUGCGCAAUGGGCGAAAGCCUGACGCAGCGACGCCGCGUGAGGGAUGACGGCC